This 443-nucleotide ribosomal RNA is filed under the name uncultured bacterium. RNAcentral's name for it is "partial 16S ribosomal RNA". It matches the Rfam family "Bacterial small subunit ribosomal RNA", at positions 338 to 795 of the family's 1533-position model. The record is from RNAcentral.
CCUACGAGAGGCAGCAGUGGGGAAUAUUGGGCAAUGGAGGCAACUCUGACCAAGCAACGCCGCGUGAAUGAUGAAGGUCUUCGGAUUGUAAAGUUCUGUGAUGGGGGAUGAACACAAUGACGGUACCCCAAUAGCAAGCCACGGCUAACUACGUGCAAGCAGCCGCGGUAAUACGUAGGUGGCAAGCGUUAUCCGGAAUGACUGGGCGUAAAGGGUGCGUAGGUGGUUUAGUAAGUUGGCGGUGUAAUUCCGGGGCGCAACCUCGGCGCUACCGCCAAAACUAUUAGACUAGAGUGCAGGAGGGGUAAGUGGAAUUCCUAGUGUAGCGGUGGAAUGCGUAGAUAUUAGGAGGAACAUCAGGGGCGAAGGCGACUUACUGGACUGUAACUGACACUGAGGCACGAAAGCGUGGGGAGCAAACAGGAUUAGAUACCCUUGUAGUC